RNAcentral lists this unclassified non-coding RNA (392 nucleotides) under Hevea brasiliensis (rubber tree). Lineage: Eukaryota; Viridiplantae; Streptophyta; Magnoliopsida; Malpighiales; Euphorbiaceae. The record is from RNAcentral.
UAUUAUUAUUAUUAUUAUUUUGGGUUCUUUAUAAGGUGUACUCAUGUUGAGUAUAGGUUCUUGUGACCAAUUAAUGCUUUGUCCUUGGAUGUAAAAUAUAUGACAAUUCAUUAUGAGGGCAAAAGGAGCCUUGGUGCUUAGGAAGUGGUAUAUUUUGACUUGCAAUGAUAAACAAGGGCGAUUUGCUGAAGUAUGGGAUGUUUUAGAGCUUAGAAUAUUUAUUUUGGUUUGUCAGGUAAUAUAAUGAAUUUAUUGAGCUUUAUUUGUUUGGCAAUAAUUUUCCUGGAGUUCUGUUCAUGAUAUUUCAGUGCUUGUGCAUGUUGGACAUGCAUCCUUACAUAAUUUUAUAAAUUUAUACACCUGUAUAAAUACAUUAUUAUUAUUAUUAUUAU